Mercenaria mercenaria is the source of this 1141-nucleotide long non-coding RNA. RefSeq lists it as uncharacterized. The transcript is spliced from 3 exons. NCBI's taxonomy places the organism in Eukaryota, Metazoa, Mollusca, Bivalvia, Venerida, Veneridae. The record is from RefSeq and is a predicted model, not a curated record.
UCUUGAUUUUAAGGCUUUGGAUUAAGUAGUUGUUUAAGCUAAGUUAUCUCCCUUUGACCAUAGUUGUAGUUUGUGUCCAGUCAGGUGUAUUGACCUUAGGUCAAUUUGUUCCCUCUAAAAGACUGUGUUCUGAUUGGUUUAGGCAUCAGUGAUCAAUAUCUCACUACCUGGAAAGCUUUGAUACUGUAUACAUGUAUUUAGUAGAAGUUGUUUUAAAUCAGUAAUAUAUUAGUUUUAAAGGAAUGGAAUUAUUAGUCAGAGACCAUUAACCUGAAUCACAGUGUGAUAGAGCAGAUGAGUUGUUGUGGUGCAGCUGGUGAUGUUUUCUAUAGCGGUGAUGCAUUUAAGUCCACAACUUGGAUGCUUAGUUUACCCACCAAUAAAUUGAUAAAGGUACAAAGAGCUUGUUUCCUACACAUGGCCUCCAGAUGGACCUACUCCUCAACCCCCACUAGCAGUUAUACUUCCUUAUAAUUUACAAAGGGACUUUAAGUUAAACUAGCCAAGUGACAUUUACAAGAAGAAUAAAAUAAUAAAAUUUACUUUUCUUUCAGUAAUUUAUAAUAUAAUCUAAAGAUUAAAUGAAGUCUUCAAUUUAAAUUAAAAUUAAUGUUUGAUUGGAUUAUCUCACAUAAUAAAUGUGGCACUUAUCACCUUCAGUAAUUACCAUUUAACACCUUAAUUAUUAAGUGAAUGCAGUGGAUCCUUUUCUGUAACAUUCAUCAAGGGAAUUGUCAGUACAAUUUGUUUACACUCAAAUAUUACCCGGUACUUUGAGAAAUAUCAAUUAAAUUGAAAGUUAUAGUAAGUAAAUGUUAUAUAAAAGCGGCUAUGGGUACGUAUGGGACAACCCUUAUUGUGUUGAUCAUAAACGUUUUGUUAUUGUUUUUAAACAAAAGUUAAUUGAUUGUUUUCAACAAGAAUGGUUUCAAGGUAGAAAUAACAGCUCUGUACUGACGGUUUACAAGGCUAUUAAAAACACUUUUGAGUAUGAAAAAUACUUAGAUGUAAUAAAGAAUAAUAAACAUAGAACGUUGUUAACUAGAUUGCGGGUUUCAGCACAUUGUCUAAGAAUAGAAAGUGCGAGAUAUGGCCGAAAUAGGUUAGAAAGAAAUGAACGAGUUUGUUUGAUAUAGUUUAG